UCAUGAAUUCUAACAUUAACAGCCCUUGUUACUGGCCUGAGGGACCUGUUUUAAUCAUGUUAUUGAUGCAUAUCAUACUACGUGAUACAGAGGGCUGUGGCUUCCUCAGGAACCAAGGGUAGAGGAGGAAAUAAGCAAUAUGCUCUGAGUCAUCACCUGUCUGUCUUUGAGACGGCCAAGAAGGGGACGGUGCGAGCUGCAUUGAUUUCACUGGUAGUGUGUGGACCGGAAACUCCUGCCUGUAUUUAUGAGGGUGAGGACUCAAGACUCCCUUCUUAACUCUAUUGCUGACACGUUGCAGAAGAGAGGUGAUAUAAUCCAAAGAAACCAUCUACCUGCUUUGUAAAAGUUUUCCAAGGCACCUAUCACUGCUGUUCGGAAAUAUCAUGAAAAGCAGGGGAAGCUCAGAAUCUGCAACUACAGAAUCUCACAGAGCCGGAGGAGAAGAAUAAACAGGUAGCAGCACCUCAUGAUUGCUAUUUGACUACAGGGCUACUACAGUUGGGAUUCCUGUUACACAACUCAACAGUCUGAUUUUUAACCACCAAGUGCGUCCUGUCUGUACCAGUCAGGACCCAGCCCACAGCUAUGGCAGUUUCUUUUCCCACUCAGCAAUUUGUUCACUUUUGUUCCUAAGCCAGAAUACAUUAUUAGGGCUGCCUAUGAUGUAUUCAGCUGACUCUUUGGCCAUUUGGCCUGAAUUAUUUGCAUGUAUGCUUGCAAGUAGAUAUAUAGAUAUAGGUGCAUUUUCAAAGCUGUGAAAAGAAGAAUAUAAACAUUAUCUACAUCUGAGGCAUACUGUGUCAUUUUUACCAUGUAAAUGAUUGAAUUUGUCUUUCUUGUUUUAUUUGCUUAAUUUUAUUAUUUGUUUUCAUGUGUGCAUGUUGGUGGCCCCAGCAGGCCCUCAGAAAAAUCUGCAAUUCUGUGAACCAAACUUUGCAGAAAUGAUUAACAUGUUUACUGUAUUGUAAUGAAUAGACUAGCUGCAUUGAAGUGGCACACUGAAAUACUAUACCAAUGGGUUCUGUCACAUGCAAAAACCAUGCUUUUUACCUAUAACAGUUUAUACUGCACUGUACAAGUAAGUAUAAAGCACUGAAUGCUUUCA
Molecule: long non-coding RNA, 1108 nt
Organism: Cygnus atratus (black swan)
Lineage: Eukaryota; Metazoa; Chordata; Aves; Anseriformes; Anatidae
Exons: 4
Source: RefSeq, a predicted model, not a curated record